This 465-nucleotide ribosomal RNA is filed under the name Vreelandella stevensii. Its description in RNAcentral is "partial 16S ribosomal RNA". It matches the Rfam family "Bacterial small subunit ribosomal RNA", at positions 338 to 795 of the family's 1533-position model. The record is from RNAcentral. Lineage: Bacteria; Pseudomonadati; Pseudomonadota; Gammaproteobacteria; Oceanospirillales; Halomonadaceae.
ACUACGGGAGGCUGCAGUGGGGAAUAUUGGACAAUGGGCGAAAGCCUGAUCCAGCCAUGCCGCGUGUGUGAAGAAGGCCUUCGGGUUGUAAAGCACUUUCAGUGGGGAAGAAAGCCUUGGGGCUAAUACCCUCGAGGAAGGACAUCACCCACAGAAGAAGCACCGGCUAACUCCGUGCCAGCAGCCGCGGUAAUACGGAGGGUGCGAGCGUUAAUCGGAAUUACUGGGCGUAAAGCGCGCGUAGGCGGUCUGAUAAGCCGGUUGUGAAAGCCCCGGGCUCAACCUGGGAACGGCAUCCGGAACUGUCAGGAUAGAGUGCAGGAGAGGAAGGUAGAAUUCCCGGUGUAGCGGUGAAAUGCGUAGAGAUCGGGAGGAAUACCAGUGGCGAAGGCGGCCUUCUGGACUGACACUGACGCUGAGGUGCGAAAGCGUGGGUAGCAAACAGGAUUAGAUACCCCUGUAGUC